AUUGAACGCUGGCGGCAUGCCUUACACAUGCAAGUCGAACGGUAACAGGUCUUCGGAUGCUGACGGGUGGCGAACGGGUGAGUAAUACAUCGGAACGUGCCCAGACGUGGGGGAUAACGAGGCGAAAGCUUUGCUAAUACCGCAUACGAUCUAAGGAUGAAAGCAGGGGACCGCAAGGCCUUGCGCGUUUGGAGCGGCCGAUGGCAGAUUAGGUAGUUGGUGGGAUAAAAGCUUACCAAGCCGACGAUCUGUAGCUGGUCUGAGAGGACGACCAGCCACACUGGGACUGAGACACGGCCCAGACUCCGACGGGAGGCAGCAGUGGGGAAUUUUGGACAAUGGGCGAAAGGCUGAUCCAGCAAUGCCGCGUGAAGGAUGACGGCCUUCGGGUUGUAAAAUGCUUUUGUACGGAACGAAAAGGAUCUGGCUAAUACCUGGGGCACAUGACGGUACCGGAAGAAUAAGCACCGGCUAACUACGUG
RNAcentral lists this ribosomal RNA (482 nucleotides) under uncultured bacterium. Its description in RNAcentral is "partial 16S ribosomal RNA". It matches the Rfam family "Bacterial small subunit ribosomal RNA", at positions 30 to 507 of the family's 1533-position model. The record is from RNAcentral.